AUGGCACGUUGUGGAAUUAAUCUGGCCGUCCUCGUCUUCUCUUCUAGCACCGGGGAAUGGCGUGCCGCCUCAUCGUCCCAGGACUGGAGGGAUAUAGUCGUUGUCAGUGACCCUUUCUGUUUUCUGAGGCCUCAUUUCGCAGGUGGCUGCAUCUACUGGGACUCGCCGUUAAACCAGAACAAGUUGCUCGUGCUUGACACUAAGACUAUGGAGUUCUCCAUUGCAGAUUUCCCACCUGGAGAAUGGGACGAAAAAUUAGCUAUUGUCGAUGCAGGGGAAGGCAGGUUUGGAAUGUUUGGCAUCCAUGAUGGAGAUGAAGGUGGUGAAUCUGUUCUUAGUUAUAUGGUUGGGCAAAACGAAGGUGAGAGUUCUGGCCAGCUGAAGAAAGUCUCACUAGGUUAUGGGCAUCAGUAUUAUUUCACAGACUAUGCAACACAGAAUUACUUGAUCCUAUUAAGGGCUGAAGCUAGCCCGUACGAAGUCUUAUCACGGACCCCAUCAAAGAUAGAAUUUUUUUCACUGGAUGUCAAGACAGCGCAGCUUGAGAGGAUGUUUAUUGAACCUUCCAAGUUUGGUUGUUCUCGAGCGCACAUAUAUACCAACUUCCCGCCAUCAUUAUUGUCUUCACCAACAAUAUGA
This 639-nucleotide ribosomal RNA is filed under the name Triticum aestivum (bread wheat). Its description in RNAcentral is "partial small subunit ribosomal RNA". Lineage: Eukaryota; Viridiplantae; Streptophyta; Magnoliopsida; Poales; Poaceae. The record is from RNAcentral.